GAUUGGGUCUUGCGCAAUUCAGGGCUGUGAACCCCGUCAGGUCCGGAAGGAAGCAGCGGUAAGCAGUUUACUGGAUGUGCCGCAAGGGUGCCUGAUCCGA
This 100-nucleotide signal recognition particle RNA is filed under the name Thermoclostridium stercorarium subsp. stercorarium DSM 8532. Its description in RNAcentral is "small signal recognition particle". It matches the Rfam family "Bacterial small signal recognition particle RNA". From Rfam's summary of the family: The signal recognition particle (SRP) is a universally conserved ribonucleoprotein involved in the co-translational targeting of proteins to membranes. Archaeal SRP consists of a 7S RNA and homologues of the eukaryotic SRP19 and SRP54 proteins. Lineage: Bacteria; Bacillati; Bacillota; Clostridia; Eubacteriales; Oscillospiraceae. The record is from RNAcentral.